UACAGAGGAUGCAAGCGUUAUCCGGAAUGAUUGGGCGUAAAGCGUCUGUAGGUGGCUUUUUAAGUCCGCCGUCAAAUCCCAGGGCUCAACCGAGGACGUGCGGAAGAAACUGCAAGGCUCGAGUCCGGAAGAGGGGGGCGGAAUUCCCAGUGUAGCGGUGAAAUGCGUAGAUAUUGGGAGGAACACCAGUGGCGAAGGCGGUCCCCUGGGCCGGAACUGACGCUGAGGCGCGAAAGCGUGGGUAGCAAACGGG
Molecule: ribosomal RNA, 253 nt
Filed under: uncultured bacterium
Lineage: Bacteria
Description: partial 16S ribosomal RNA
Rfam family: Bacterial small subunit ribosomal RNA
Source: RNAcentral